This is an RNA transcript of Coturnix japonica (Japanese quail), 10180 nucleotides long. It is a transcript of the gene named tubulin delta 1, with no coding region annotated. The record is from RefSeq and is a predicted model, not a curated record. NCBI's taxonomy places the organism in Eukaryota, Metazoa, Chordata, Aves, Galliformes, Phasianidae.
CGCUUGUGCCCGAACUGCGCCGAGUUCCCUCUGAGCAUGCGCACUGCGGGCUGCCCCCAGUGAGGCGCGGCGGGCAGGGGGCUCGUCAGCCUUGAGGAGGGGCCAUAGUGUGUGGAACCCGCCCAACCCACCCCCCUGAGCCGGCAUCGACCUGAUGAGAGGGCCAAACACGAGGUGAAUUAGAAUGUCAAUAGUCACAGUCCAGCUUGGGCAGUGUGGUAACCAAAUAGGUCAGGAGGUGUUUAACACCAUCUGUGGUGAUGUCCGUGGCACGCAUGGAUUGUGUUCCAAGAAGGAGAACGAAGCCUACCACCAUGCCUGUACAGAACGGUUUUUCAGCGAGGCAGAGUCUGGAGUACCUGUUGCCCGGGCUGUGCUUGUUGACAUGGAACCUAAAGUAAUCAGCCAAACUUUAUCAAUAGCUGCCCGGUCUGGCCACUGGAAAUACGAUGAUCAGUCACACUUCUGUCAGAAACAAGGGUCCGGGAACAACUGGGCAAAUGGUUACUCUGUUCAUGGGCCUAGAAACAAAGAAGUAAUCAUGAAUCUGGUACAAAAAGAAGUAGAGAAAUGUGAUCGACUCAGUGGAUUUUUCACAAUAAUGAGCAUGGCUGGUGGUACAGGUUCUGGCCUAGGAGCAUUUGUGACUCAGUGUUUAAGAGAUGCUUUUCCAACCUCGUUUAUACUAAACCACGUUAUCUGGCCCUAUGGCACUGGUGAGGUCAUUGUUCAAAACUACAACUCUGUUUUGACUCUGUCACAUCUGUAUCAGUCAUCAGAUGCUCUUCUUGUUCAUGAAAAUGAUGUCAUCCACAAGAUCUGUGCUCAGCUGAUGCAUAUUAAACACAUCUCCUUCAGGGAUGUAAAUCAAGUCAUUGCACAUCAACUGGGGAGUGUUUUCCAGCCUGCUCACACAGCAGAAUCUGGCUUACACUACAGCAGAAACCCCUUAGGAGACUUAAUGGAGACGUUAGUUCCACACCCUGAAUUCAAGAUGUUGGGUCUCCGUAACAUACCUCAGAUGCCUGAAAACUCCCUCGCAUAUAGCACAUUCAGUUGGCCUGGGCUCCUCAAACAUCUGAGGCAAAUGCUCAUUGCUAACGCUAAAAUGGAGGAAGGUAUCGAUUGGCAAGUACGGCCACCAUGUCCAGGCUCCUCCAUCUCCUCCAGUCAUUCCAUAAACAAGCUGCUGCAUUUCAAUACUUCCAUUGCCAACCUGGUCAUCCUGCGAGGAAAAGAUACGCACAGUGUAGACUUAGGAAGUUUCCGAGAUCCCUCAUUAUAUACAUCAUGGCUAAAUCCUCAGGAUGCUUUUAAUGCAUGGAAAACCCCAAGAGCAUUUAAUAAGUAUGAAAAGUCUGCUUCUCUGGUUAGCAAUAGCCAGUUCCUGCUGAAACCUCUUGACAAUGUUGUAGGAAAAGCUUGGAAUAUGUUUGCUUCCAAAGCCUAUGUUCACCAGUACACCAAGUUUGGAAUUGAAGAGGAGAAUUUUUUGGACAGUUUCACAGCUCUGGAACAAGUUAUCUCCAGUUACACCAACCUCUGAUUUUGGAAAUGGUUUCUUCCUGAAAGAGCCCAGCACUGGAAGACCUUCCAUCAGCUAUCAAGUCAGGAACAGAAGCACUAAAAUCCAUCCAGGAACAGCUGUUCAAAGUAGCUCAAGCAUGAGAUCUGGAAAGGCAAAUACAUCUGACACGAUCCAAGUAACUGUACAACUGACUGUGGAGAAAGUACUGGGGUAAGUUCACAAUUGUUCAAAUACAGAAGCAGCAACAGCUGAACACUGUCAUGGCUGUAGUUUCAAUGCAAGCCACAACAGAUUCUGAUACCUGUCAUGGGAUAAGCAAUGUUAAUCCCUAAUGCUUUCAGAAAAAAAAGUUUCAGGAGGGAAGACAAAAAAAGCAGGUGGGGUAAAUGCACUCAAGUGACUUUUCAUAUUAAAAGAUGCUUGAUGUGUAUGACAACACAUUUUGACACUAUUCUUACAGACCACAGUACACAAUACAACUUACCUCACUUUACCUUCUCCUCUCACUCAACUGCUUUAAUUCCUGUUUUGGGUAUUCCUUCUCAAAAGAAGGACACAAUAAUCAUGGUUCAACUAUCCAGAUAUACUACAUUUAAAACCACAUAUAGUUUAUUAUUUAAUAUUUUUUUCACUAAAUUACUCUCUGUCAGCUCAGAGACUGGGGACUGUUACGAUCAAAAGGGAUUUUCUGGUGUUAUGUUUUUGUUAAUUGAACCAUUAAGCUGGGCAGGUAUUCUCACACAAGAAAAUGGAGGAAAGAUUGCACAAAACAUCAAGAGAACCAGCUCGGGCAGUUCAAGUUUGCAAAGAGCAAAGGGUCAGGAAAGCAAGAACAGUGAGGUUCUCCUUCUUCCCUCCUUCAAAAGACACAGGAUACUUAGCAAAGGUAGAAAUCAUUUUCCCUAGUGUUAGCUACAGAUACUGCUGUCAGACUAAAGAUUUCUUCCAGUGUCAGAAAUGAAAACAGGUAACUCCAGUGACUGGGUCCCAGGGAUGGACAUUCUUCCUCAUUUUGACACUGCGUUACAAGAUAGCUUUUAAAAAGCUCAGUCAGUAAAACCUUUUAGCAACAAGGAAGAGAGCUGUAUGUUACUGUACUGCUAUAUAAGUAACUUGCAGAAAUAACACCGCAUUAUGUCUGUGUAUUUACAAUUCCAAGCAUGAAGCAAAUGCAGCAGCACUUACCGCAGCCACAAAUGCCACAGAGCCAUUCACCCAUCCCUUACAGCUGCAUCUAUUCUUUAAUGGAAUAUGUCACUUUCAGUUAACAACAUAACAUAUUUGAGUUUUGGUUUGUUUAAUGGCAGAGUUAUACCACUAAGUCCAUUGCUGCUUAACAAGAUGCCAGUCAAAUUUUGAAUGCUGACAAUGCAGAUUUCUUGAAGCUACAAAAACUGAAGGUAAAAACAGAACCGUAACCAUUGUAUUAGCUCCUACAAUCACUUUGAUUUCACUGGAGGAAUUAUUUUCAGCUCCUCCAGGUCUUUUCCUGUCAGUGUUUUUUGCUGCUGACCUCAGUUUUGAGACUUACACCCUCUCCCAAACUAAGCCUUCAUUUUUUCAUCUGUGGCUGAAUUCCUCUAUUUUUUUCCCCAGGAUGUGGAGAGCAGAGGGUCAAGUGGCAGGAAGUGAAUAACCAUUCUCAAAUGUACAUCAUCUCAAAUUGUAUUAGAAGGUGGUGAAUUCUUUAUUAUUGUUUGCGGAGAAAAUUAGUUGUGUAAAUGAGAGCCUGAGCCUGGCAGAGGGCUGCUGCUUCAUUAGCAGCUGAAAUGAGCAAGAUAGAUUAAAGGCAAUGGUGAACUGAGGGAUGGCAGCACCAGUGGCCCUGACCCCUCUGCCUUUAGGCAAACUAUCCACAGGAAGUCCAUGAACCAAGGAACAAUGCAUCAAAUCUCACUAUUGUUUGUUGUCAUGGGCAGGUGCAGGUCCCCUGGAAGUUGACUCAAGGACUAACUAUAGCAGAAAUACUGAGUGAACAGGAUAACUUUAUUUGGUCACCUGGAAAAACAGGACCUAAGUUGCAAGUACUUUAAAGACAGUGACUGGCCCAUGACAAGGCACUGAUGCAAUUUAUUCCAACUUGCUUGUAAAGUAAGACUCCAUAGCAGCAAAGAAAGGAUAUGAACAAUGAAAGCGAACUCUUAGGGACUUACCAGCAUGGAGUUAGCAACACGAACAAUUCUAGAUUAAGGGCAAAAACUUGUAGUUUCCACAAAGACCAGAAUUCUGCCAACAUGAAAAAAGGAAGUUGUGUGCAAACUAGCAGCUGGUACAUGACUGGGAAAUGUUAGGGUGAAAAAGGUAUUGAAUGAAUCAUUCGUUUCCUAUGGCAUUUGUUAAUAAAUUCAGUAUAAGUGCUAUGAAAUGACAACCCAAACAUCCUAAAGGAAGUACUCUCGGAUGUCAAAGAGUACUUUUAAGGAAGCCUGAGAUUUGCCGGACACUGCUUUAAAACUGAACAACAGCCACCAGCAAUGUGAUUCACAGAUCUACUGUAUUACAAAAAAGCUUCAAAAAAAGUAGAGGUGCUGCCAUUCCUCUACUGCUUUCAAGGGCACCCCAGCCACACCUUUACCAGUGCACCAAAUUCCAGUGUAGGCUUCUUCCUCAAGCCAGCAGCACAGCCUGGACACUCCAACAGACUUUAACCCGCCUGGGUGCAGAGCUAAUAAUCCUAAAUUUUAAUUGUGGAGCCUUUCCGGUUCUUUCAGUCAAACUGGAUGUUCACAAUGGCCCCUUCUGAGCACACAUUGUAUGAAUCCUCUCCUUCCAGACAGCCACUUCCCCUCUGUCCGGGUGGGUAAUGAGUCACCCACCUCCAUGAAUCAGCAGAACAUACUUAACCCCUUCCCAGAAGCACCAACAGCUGCACAUCCAGUGGUGUUUCAAACAAACGUUAUUGCCAAUGAUACAGAGCAAGCUGGAAGAGGCUGGAGAUGGUUAGGGGUAAGAGGUUAGCAACGGAAAAAGGUUCUAUCAGAUAGAAAAAUAAGAAAAAUGAGGACUUUCUCUUGACCAAGACUCCUCUCAACAUUUCUUGUCUCACUUCAGGAAGCUGUGAGCUUCCUUCACUAAUGAUAUAUGAUGAGAAGCAAAUGUCACUGUAAAAAGUAUAUGUGCACUUAAAUGAGCACGUUCCCCAGAAGCAAUUAUUGUACCUAUUUGAUUACACGUACGGUGUAAUGUUUAUUCAAAGGUUCACAUGAGUGCACUUCAGUUGCCUGAGAAUGGUGUAACUGUGGUCAGAUGACAUGAUUUAAUUUGAGCCUUUGCCCAGCAGGCUCCUACAUGUAACAGAUCAGUGACCGGAGCAUGUGAGCAGUGCACCACCCAAGGAGCCAAAUGGAAAGCAGCCUCAUUCCACACACUGAAGGUGUAAUGAAACACUGACUCCAUAAUUCUUGGUUGGCAGGGGCAGCGGUAGAGUCAUUGUGGCAGCCCCAGUAAAGAACAGCCAGAGCCAGGCAGCAGUUCAGAGCUGCCACUCUCCAGACGGCUCUGAACAAUACUGGGUUCACUACAAACUCCCAUGUAAGAGUGCUGUGGGAUCGCUGUGUUUCUACCACUUCCAAAGAGAACGUUGGGACACUUCUUUCCUUCUCACCCCACAUGGAGCAGCUCCAACACGACCGAGUCACCAGGUCCACAGAUGUAUACAUGCAGAUAUUUGAUGCUGUAAAUCACAUCCCUCCCUGUGAGACCUUAACUCACUUUAUCACACCAUCUUCCUCUGUAAGACUGCCUCCAAAGUCAGUAUUUUCACUGUAAAGUCUUAUUAUAAAUAUAAAUAUAUAUAAAUAGAUGUGAAUCAAAUGCAUCCUAUGACAAAGCUUAUUUUUCAUCAACAAAGGAAACCUGAAAUUACACCUCCAUGUGGGAUCUCUCUAACUGAAGAAAUCUCCACUCAAGAGCCAAACCUUGACUUGUACAGAGUGCUGAGCAUGAUGGGCAAAGACUGAGCAAAGAGCCAUCGUCCUCACCAGGAGUGAGCAUCAGUCUGCCAUCAACACCAGCACCUUCAUUACUCAAUCAGAACGGCCAUCUCUCUGUCACAGACUAACCCUACUGCCAAAGGACAGCACAGGAGAUUUCCAGCUUAAAGAGAAAGGGAUUUCACAGUCUCCCUCAUCUCAGAUAUCUUUCAGACAGGUGUGAUUCUCCAUUAUAGCAAGGACAGUGAAAUGAGGCACACUACACCAAUGCCAUGGGGAAACAAAAAGCAGAUUAUGCCUUAAACCAACGGUGUUAAGGACAGAGAAUCUCUCAAGCAGGAGGAGAAUGCAAGUCAUCAAUCUGUACUUCUAACACGGACUGAACAGCAGUUCCUGGGGCCAUCAGGAGGCAGGUGUGGAGUGGAGCAGUUAUCAGAGCAGGAACAACACACAGAGCUGACAAGCCCUAUCUACUUAAAGAUUACUUUACGUAAUCUACUGUUUUUGCCUUUCACCAGGAAAUAGCAGUUCAUUUCCUUAUUGCCAAUUGGCUGGGAAUCACAUUUCAGCUUCUUGGGAAACUGGAGCAAUUAAGGGGGGAGCAACCCCCCUGAAACAUGGGAGGUGCCACACACUUACAUAUCCGUAUCUGAACAGCUUAAAUGGGGUUUGGAGAGAAGCGACCUUUGAUUUAAUGCUCAUGUAGUCAAUGCUGUGAAUCAUUCCUUAAGUGAUCAGUAAUAAAAACCCCUCCAGCAGAUUAAAGAGUGAUGUGAAAGGCAAACUAAAACAAAGCACAGCCUGUUUAACAGGUUCACGUGUAUUUUUCAAACAACUGAACCUCACCAGCAGUGAAUAUACAGAACUUCAGAGCCCGACAGCCUACUGCCCAACACAGAGCUGCCUGCGGCAUGUUUGACCAAAAUACCAUCGUGCUGAAUUCCUAGUGCGUUCCCAAAGCCCAUCACAGACUGCUGGGCCUUUCCUACCUGCUUUUAGUUGGAAGGGCAGAUGGUUUUCUGGACGUUGAUGACCAUCUCCACAUCUGAGCUCCUCUCACUGGCUUGGGUUCUGACACUUCUCCUGCUCACACUGUGACCAAACAGCUGCCUCUUAUGAAUGCUCAGAGCAUGUAGCCACCAAGUCAAACAGAAGAAGAAAUGUGAGACUGCAGCUCUGCCCUCAAUGACACACGUGAACUCCGAAAGUCACAGCAGGACAGGGAGGAUUCUGCACAAUCCCUUUAAAAAUGAGUUUGCAUUGACUCAUUUGCAUGAGUCUAUACUCUCUGUCUGAUUCAGGGGCCAUUGGGGGUGUUCCACACAGAAAGCGAUCACUUCACUCCGUUUCCCAGAGAGGUUUCAGCAACAAACCCUACCCUGGACCAGACCCCCAUCCUCCCCUCACACUGCCCUCAGUGCUGCAGUCCCAUAAUCACAUUGGUAGAAGAAGGACUCACUGUCGGGAAGUUUUCUCCUUCUGCUGCUCCAGGACCCUCAGAACCACCCUCAGAACUCACAAUCCCAGAUGAGCCAUUUCCAUUACCUCGUGCAUGACUACAUUCAACCUUCGACUGCUGAUGAUGAAGUAUUUUUUAACCAUGUGCUUCAAAGACAACUGCCAUUAUUUUUUACCUUCGGGACCAACCCCUGACACCACUUAUUUUUACACCCACAAUACACUUUGUUUGCUACCAUUCAUGUUUGUGCUUGAUAACCAUGUAACGAUCCAUAGUGUUCUUGUUUGCAAUUAGUGCUGCUUGGAUCGAUGAGGAAGCUGAUUCUAAUUAAUUAAAUAACAAAACCCCAAAACACAGCAGAGGCGAACAUUGAGGAACAGCACUGAGCCCCUCAAGUAUCAGUGACAGGUGUCAGCACAAGCAGCAGCAAGGCGAGCUCAGCUUGCUGCGUUACUGGGAACCACUGGGACACUGGGAUGGAGGUAGGGAACUGCAGAUGGAGCAGUUCCAAGUUCACUGUGAUGGAGCAGUGUGGGACUGGUGAUUCCAUUUAGCAUGGAGCAGUGUGACCUCUUCAACUUAUCCAUUAUAUAGAGCAUAGUGAAGCUACUGAGGUUGUUGCUCUUAGCAAACAGAGCUCACUUUGGGCCUAACCCAUAUCAAACUCUGUGAUCAACUGCUUCCAGCACACAGCUAAAGGUAUUCCUGACAGACCUGUGGGUUAAGGCAGCAAAACGUGUCCAGAUGAGAUGUGAAAGGCUCUGGGGCCUUUUUGUAGCCAAAAAAUGCACUGCAAACACACCUUCUACCUUCACACUCACCAUAGAACACUUGAGAUAACAAAUUUCACAGCGUAACCAAAUUCAAUACACAAAAAAAAAGAAACAAUCAAGCUUGAAUGAAGACAAGCAAUCUGUUACUUGUUUAUGUAAGCAAACACAGCACUCUCCAUGUGCACAACCUUACCUUGUACUACCUCUUACCAAACCUUGUUAUCUCCCUUUGCUGAAAAGGUAGAAGGAAGGAGAACAAGCAGUUCCCCUGUUAAAUACUUUCAGAAAGAUUCCAAACAAUGGCACAGCUCAUCGAAGUGGUCAAGUACAAUGUGGCAGGAAGAACUGUAUAUUUCUCACUUUACUUUUCAAUGUGCAAACAGGUUGAAAUAGAAGGGGGGAAGCUGUCAGUGACUUUUCACUAAUCAAUGGGCAAAGAGGCAUCACUACAAGGAGACUGCUGGGGUAUUCAGAAAGUCAUCGUUUAUUGGCUCAAGGGGCUUCUUCCCUCCCUUUUUAAUUAUUAGUACAAUCUCAAGGUGCCCUCAGGAUGGCAUAAACUUCAGUGACUCCUACAAAAGGCCUUAAGACACUACUGGAACUGCAAAGUAAACAGCAGCAUCCUGCAAACAAAUGGCAAAUUGGAAGAAAAAAACCAAUGGCACAGAAGCGAGGAAGGUUGCAAACAGCUGUUCCACUAACCCAGACACUCUGAAGGAAAAUGAAACAGCCAUGAGCUGCUGACAUGAGCUAUAACGAUGUGCAAAAUCAAACUUUUAGUAGACUGAAAAAAGUAAAUACCAACAAGAGCUUUUAUUAUUAUUAUUAUUUUGUGAAUGUUUAUUGCAAUAGAACAAGUUCUUUGCUACGUAAUUGGCCAAGAGCUUAUUUGGGCCCAAAAGAGAAAAGCUGCUAGGGCCAAGAAUUCAGAAAAACUGUUCACCUCUUAAAACUCAGCAGAGGCAAAUGAACUGCCUUAUUGCUUUUAAAGGCCUCAUGCUGCCUCCCCUCCUGUUGCUUUUGACUACCUCCCAGCACUCAGGGCUUCAAAUAUUUAAAUAUAACAUGGCUAUAUUAAAAAAAUCCCAUAUUUAUAGCUUCCCCAUUCACUGAAUAAUGCUUGAAGUUAAACACGAAGCAUACAAGAUAAACAUUACAAACCUGACACACAACCAAGAUGGAGCUUUAAGAGAUGCUUCGGAUGCAGCUUGUCACACUGCAUGGCUGGUGUGUAUUCAUUUCCAUCAAAACUGAAAAACAUUGAUACGCCACUGAUGUUCAAUGAAAACAGCUGGAGAUGGAUGAGCGAACGGUCAGAUGAGAGAUACCAAAAUGUCAGACAGCCUACCGACUGUUGUUGCCAUGAGAUCCAACAGUCAACAUCAGUCUGAUAAGCUAUCCGACAGGAUGGUACAGCCAUGGGGAUGUCACGACGGCUGGCAACACAGGAGGACAUUCAGGCAGGACUGAACAAAAUCCUUAUUCUCACACCUUGCUCAUGAUCUGCUCUAAUCUAAUGCAGGGAUAAAUACAACCCAAGCAUGAGCAAAAUCAAACCUCCCUUGUGCUUGUGUGCUACCUGUUGAUAACACUAAUUGAAAGUCAAAUUAAUUCCUAAUCCCCCCCAGGCUAAAAAUUAGAACCAAUAGUUCUAAAAUUACACAAGUAGUAAUACAUACACAGCAGCAGGAGUGUGGCUGCCUACUUCCUAAAGAGGGAAGAGAUCUGUUUUAAUACAGAUUACCUUCACAUACAUUAAAAUCGCAACACUGAUUCAAAGCAAUGUUUUAUAAAUGCCUGAAUUUUCAAGCCUAAAUGUGAGGUUUUCUAUGGCUCCACAUACGAUUGCUGGGUUUGACACCAGUUCUCUGUUCAGCUGGAAUUUCUACACUUCCCCCUUCUCUUCUCCUUCACAGCUCAUAGUAUUGUGACCAGUAGCAAACACUGACCAAGAUUUUAUGCUAACAAUCACAGCAAAACUCGCCUAUUUUAAGCAGUGAGCAGUAAUGUGCCUUCUACUAUGUUCUGCUAAGUAAGAAGUUCUUAAGAAAAAGGGAAAAAAGAAUAAAGGGUGGUUUCAGCACUGUCUGUGCAGGAAGGAUGAGUAAAGCAUGCAACCCAAGGGGUUAAAGCUUAAUAACGACACUCAGCAUACAAAAGGGGAAAGGAAAAGAAACAGCUUAAAAAGACUGACACAAGAAAUUCUGGAAUGAUCAAAGAUGACUUUAUAAAGUUUUAUCUUAACUUCAUUCUAAAUAUACAGAAUAAAAAAACGUCAGCUUCAGCAUUUUGACAUCAAUCAUCUCUGCUAACAUCGUGACGAUUAAAGGGCGGCUUUUCCAACCAAGAGCACGUGCAAUGCAAUGGGACACCGGAGAAUUCAAAUGGAAUAACCUUACCACGAGGGACAUGCAACAGUUUUUACCCAAUUUGUAAUUCAUUUAUAUACAUCUUGAUAGUCUUGAAAGUUAAGGUUAAAAAAAAAAAA